RNAcentral lists this ribosomal RNA (419 nucleotides) under bacterium. RNAcentral's name for it is "partial 16S ribosomal RNA". It matches the Rfam family "Bacterial small subunit ribosomal RNA", at positions 355 to 776 of the family's 1533-position model. The record is from RNAcentral.
UGGGGGAUAUUGCACAAUGGGCGAAAGCCUGAUGCAGCGACGCCGCGUGGGGGAUGAAGGCCUUCGGGUUGUAAACUUCUUUUGCUCUGAACAAGGCAUGCUAAUGGGUGUGUUGAGUGUAGGGGUUGAUUAGCGCCGGCUAACUACGUGCCAGCAGCCGCGGUAAUACGUAGGGCGCGAGCGUUGUCCGGAAUUAUUGGGGGUAAAGGGCUUGUAGGUGGCUGGUUGCGUCUGUCGUGAAAGCUCAUGGCUUAACUGUGGGUUUGCGGUGGGUACGGGCUGGCUGGAGUGCAGUAGGGGAGGCUGGAAUUCCUGGUGUAGCGGUGGAAUGCGCAGAUAUCAGGAGGAAUACCGGUGGCGAAGGCGGGUCUCUGGGCUGUUACUGACACUGAGGAGCGAAAGCAUGGGGAGCGAACAGG